Molecule: ribosomal RNA, 436 nt
Filed under: uncultured bacterium
Lineage: Bacteria
Description: bacterial SSU rRNA
Rfam family: Bacterial small subunit ribosomal RNA
Source: RNAcentral
CAAGGCUUGACAUAUAGAGGAAAAGUGCAGAGAUGCACUCCCCGCAAGGUCUCUAUACAGGUGGUGCAUGGUUGUCGUCAGCUCGUGUCGUGAGAUGUUGGGUUAAGUCCCGCAACGAGCGCAACCCUCGUCCUAUGUUGCCAGCACGUUAUGGUGGGAACUCAUGGGAUACUGCCGGGGUCAACUCGGAGGAAGGUGGGGAUGACGUCAAAUCAUCAUGCCCCUUAUGUCUUGGGCUUCACGCAUGCUACAAUGGCCGGUACAGAGGGCAGCAAUACCGCAAGGUGGAGCGAAUCCCAGAAAGCCGGUCUCAGUUCGGAUUGAGGUCUGCAACUCGACCUCAUGAAGUCGGAGUCGCUAGUAAUCGCGAAUCAGCAACGUCGCGGUGAAUACGUUCCCGGGUCUGUACACACCGAAUCUAGAGCAUCGGAGCCAC